CCCUACGGGGCGCAGCAGGCGCGAAAACUCUACAAUGCAGGCAACUGCGAUAGGGGAACAUCGAGUGAUACUCAUCUUGGGUGUCUGUCCUUCCGUCUAAAAAACGGGAGUUAGCAAGGGCCGGGCAAGACCGGUGCCAGCCGCCGCGGUAAUACCGGCGGCUCGAGUGGUAGCCGAUAUUAUUGAGUCUAAAGGGUCCGUAGCCGGCUUUGCAAGUCUUUUGGGAAAUCCAGCGGCUUAACCGUUGGUCGUCCGGGAGAUACUACAUGC
RNAcentral lists this ribosomal RNA (270 nucleotides) under uncultured methanogenic archaeon. RNAcentral describes it as "partial 16S ribosomal RNA". It matches the Rfam family "Archaeal small subunit ribosomal RNA", at positions 321 to 592 of the family's 1478-position model. The record is from RNAcentral. Lineage: Archaea; Methanobacteriati; Methanobacteriota.